RNAcentral lists this long non-coding RNA (2101 nucleotides) under Hordeum vulgare. Its description in RNAcentral is "long non-coding RNA (HVUL_LNC014786)". Lineage: Eukaryota; Viridiplantae; Streptophyta; Magnoliopsida; Poales; Poaceae. The record is from RNAcentral.
UGUUUUUUAAUUCUUCACUUAUCCUCAAUCCACUAGGUAGGAAUGCAUAUUGGGUAUGAAAAAAUGCACUAGAGUUUAAAAAUUUAUGGAAAAAUAUGAGGAUUUAUGGAAAAAUAUGAGGAUGAAACAUGUUAAAUACACUAGAACCAAACGAUGCUUUUAAAUAUAUGAAAAUUUAGGGGUUUAAUAGAAAUAAUUUCCAUAAAUUUUCUAAAAUACAUGAGUACCAAACGAGGCCCUAACGAGUUGAUCCCCUUGCUCCAGCUUUUGACGAGCCACGUGGACGAAGCUUUUGCCGCCGAUGUCCAUCAUGCUAUACGACGCGAUGAGGAGGCACAUGCAUCUGAAGGAGCCCAUCGGAAGGUUCUAAUUCGUGAGCUAAGUGGCCAUGUCAUUGAUGACGGCCUCUGUUCGCAUGAGCCAUUGUCGUUGUGCUCAGGACAGAUGGCACAACAACAUGGGCUGGAGCUGAUUGAGUUCACGGAUAUCAGGCACUUGAAAUUGCAAGGGAUGCCUUGUUAUAGCCGAGCCAAUCGUCCAAUGUUGUCGCGCCCAAUCUUACCCAAUGAACUGAAUUUCUCCUCCUCGGGCACAAUUCAGGCAGCAAGGAAGGACAUCCUUGGUUACGGCCGUUUUGGUUGUGUCUGUCACAUAUAUUUCCAAUGUCACCCAAGCCUAAACUCAAGCACACCAAUUUUAUCUAGGACAAUAAGAAGAAUUUUAGCACGCAUGGCAACAUCAUGUGACUUAAAAUGCAGGUCCCCUAGUAUAUGGCUCAUAUUUAUAGGCAGUGAUGGUCUUGAGUAGUUUAGAGUUCCACACAACCGAACUUUCCAGGCCCAGAAAUCCGAAAGUUUUCAGGCCUUCAAUCUAUUGUCUUCAUUCUCACGUUAUUGCUCUUUUAAAUAUGAGAGAUUGAGAUCUUGUCUUUAUGAAGCACCUAUAUAACGACACACAAGGCUAUAAACUUAGUGACUGUAUAUACGGGCCCUUACAAUAUUUACGGCCCUUUACAACGCACAUACAAUAUUAUGUUAAUAUGGGCAGGCAAAUCACGGCUAGCCUACUACAAUAUUUACGGGCCUUACAACACAUUGACAAAUGACAAUUAUCUAGCCUUUGGAAAAUACGGGUGCCUUUAAAAAAAGACGGACGCUUUGAUACGUAAACUCCUUUGGCUAUGUAGAGGAGCUCGGCGUGGCAUAUGGCAAAAAAAGUUUAUUUUAAAUCCUAAACUUAAAGAGGUCCGUUGAAUUAAAUCCUUAAGUUAAAAUUUCUGUCGUUUGCGUCCCGAACUAUGCAGUCCCGGUUUAAAUAGAACCCUAACAUCGUUUGAGGCAUAAAAACGCCGACGUGGCAAAUGUCAACCGGAAUUCGUGUGAAUAUGGGCUAACGGCAGUAUUGACCACGGUGUGUUCCCGUCCUGGGCACUGUGCCGAUCCAUUUAUUUUUUAAUACAUUGCUAAAAAUUCCGUGCUAGACAAUUCUUAUACUGCAAGGAAGAAAGCAAUACAUGAAGGAAUCUUUCAAUCUUCACAGCAAACCUUGGCGUUUGUCACAUCAUACAUCAAGUUAGGCCAGCUGAUCCGAUGGCGACGGGACAAACUCAAAGUGUUGCCGCGUAGCCUCACCAGUUGGAGUAGCCAAUAUGUACGUGGACGCUACGUUAGCGCGCAACAGGCACGGUGGUGCUAUUAUGGCCGUUUUGAGAGACCAUGCAUGAGCAUAUUUAGGGUCUUCGACGGUUUUGGUCCGAGGCAUAACGUUUGCUUGCAGAGAAGCAUUGGCACUAGCAGAGGAUCUAAAUAUCCAAAGGAUGAAGAUGGCUUUGGAUUGCCUGGGUGUGGUGAAGAAUAUUAAUUCGAAAACAAUAGGUCCUCAUUCAGCAAUUGUGCAUGAAAGAGUGGAGUGUAGCAAUAGCUUUACUAUUUGCUCUUUUGUCCAUGAGCAUAAGAAUCACAAUUUCGAAGCUUACAAUCUCACCAAAACGACAUGUAACUUAGGUUUAGGUAGACAUGUUUGGUUGGACACUCCUCACAACACAAACCGUGUGCCUAUGAACAUCCUUAUUGAUUAAUAAAGUGGCGAGAUUUAAAAAAAA